CAUAAAAAGCAGGACAGAUGAUGUGUCAUUCGUUCAAGUGGUGAAGUCGUUGUCAAGCCCCCCCACCGAUUCCCCCUCCCCCCACAAACUGAGUUCAGGUUUUCGAUCUGUCUCAUUUAUUCAAGACGAAUUGCAGUUGGAGUAGCGACAAAAGGAACUAACAAUGGCAGG
This 171-nucleotide non-coding RNA is filed under the name Asterionellopsis glacialis. Lineage: Eukaryota; Bacillariophyta; Plagiogrammaphyceae; Rhaphoneidales; Asterionellopsidaceae. The record is from RNAcentral.